This is a long non-coding RNA of Drosophila nasuta, 613 nucleotides long. RefSeq lists it as uncharacterized. The record is from RefSeq and is a predicted model, not a curated record. NCBI's taxonomy places the organism in Eukaryota, Metazoa, Arthropoda, Insecta, Diptera, Drosophilidae. The transcript has 3 exons.
CAAAUAUUAAAUCAAACAAAAAAGCUUGAAUAUGGAAUUUAAUCGUCAAGAAUAUGAUAUAUGGAAAAUGGAGAGCAAGUUUGUCCCAGUCGAGCACACUUGACUGCAGAUUUUCAACUUGUUCUUAUUAAAUUAACUAAUAUGUUGAAAUUAAUAAAAUAUUUUAAAAACAAUUUUCAUUAAAAAUAUAUCUGGUUCCAUGUGACAAUGGCUGACCUUGACUUCAAAAAAACUCACUCGUAUAGGUGGCAGUCAGUAGAAUGAAAGCUGAUUAACGGAAUCAAUUGGCUCAAAAUUUAUCGGCGGAAUAAGCUGUGGUACCGUGGAUUGAAGCGAAAACGAUUUCUAUAGGACCUCUGAUAGUCUCUUAGAUCUAUGUAUGCAUGUAGGUGCUCAUGAAGAUAGAGGAACAGACGGACACGGCUACAUAGUCUAGGCUGUUGACCAUAAUAAAUAAUAUGUUUUACACAAUAUAUUAAUACUUAAUAUUGUACAUUCUGUUCAAAAACCACAAGCGAGAAGCGCAUAAUUUUAUUUAUCUUAUGUUAAUUACCUGAAUCUUUGAAUAAGUUUAUCUAUAACCAUGGAGUAGCAAGCACAGGACAGCGAAUAC